Molecule: long non-coding RNA, 719 nt
Organism: Zingiber officinale
Lineage: Eukaryota; Viridiplantae; Streptophyta; Magnoliopsida; Zingiberales; Zingiberaceae
Exons: 2
Source: RefSeq, a predicted model, not a curated record
CGAGGAACGUACUAAUCCUCCUCCUGCUCUUUGGUCCGAGCCCGUCGCCGAUCUGGCAAUCGCCUCGACGCCGGCGGGCGGCGUGCCGUCGCCUUAUCCACCUCCCUCCUCUCCGCAUCGGAUCUCUCAUCUUCCACAGGGUAUCAAUUAGUUUGCUGAAAAUCCAAACAGAAUGGUGCAUGAUACCUUAUCGUCGCCUCAUAGGCGGGCUCAAAACACUUUCUUUUCGUCCUCUCCAUCUAAGAAACAGAUGUUGGGUCCCAGUGAGCUGGGGUCUUGGUCUACCCUUCUCGAGCGACACAGGUUCCUCCUGACGAUGCUCGCUUUGUUGGCAUUCUUAUGCACCAUCUACCUCUACUUUGCGAUCACAUUGGGCACUACCAGCUCCUGUUCGACCAUGUCGGGCGCUGAGAAGGAUCUCUGCGAAGCUAAGGCUUUGCACAAAGGGAAACUAAAAUUCUUCUGACCGCAGAUUGCGUCUGUAUUACUAGUUCAUGGAGACGAACCAAGAAACUUGGUCCGAGUUCCUUGACUCUUAACAUCAUUGAGAUACAAUGAUACAAGCUUAACAGAGAUAAUGUCGCUUAUUGAGAUGCCAUUUGUGCCCUAUUGAAGCGUAUGUAUCGUUUUGUUCUAUACUUGUAACUAUUCGAUGCCUUGAGCUGUGGAGCAGAAAAUAAAUCUACUAAUGAAACCUGUCGCAUAAAGUUCUCAUUCUC